Molecule: ribosomal RNA, 1475 nt
Filed under: Candidatus Pelagibacter sp.
Lineage: Bacteria; Pseudomonadati; Pseudomonadota; Alphaproteobacteria; Candidatus Pelagibacterales; Candidatus Pelagibacteraceae
Description: bacterial SSU rRNA
Rfam family: Bacterial small subunit ribosomal RNA
Source: RNAcentral
AAACUUGAGAGUUUGAUCAUGGCUCAGAACGUACGCUGGCGGCACGCCUAACACAUGCAAGUCGAACGAAGUAGCAAUACUUAGUGGCAGACGGGUGAGUAACAUGUAGGUAUCUGCCCUUUGGCCUGGAAUAACACGAGGAAACUUGUGCUAAUACCGGAUAAGUCUUUACGGAGAAAGCUUUAUGCACCAUUGGAUGAGCCUGCACUUGAUUAGUUUGUUGGUAGGGUAACGGCCUACCAAGACUUUGAUCAAUAGCUGAUUUGAGAGGAUGAUCAGCCACAUUGGGACUGAGACACGGCCCAAACUCCUACGGGAGGCAGCAGUGGGGAAUCUUGCACAAUGGAGGAAACUCUGAUGCAGCGAUGCCGCGUGAGUGAAGAAGGCCCUUGGGUUGUAAAGCUCUUUCGUCGGGGAAGAAAAUGACUGUACCCGAAUAAGAAGGUCCGGCUAACUUCGUGCCAGCAGCCGCGGUAAUACGAAGGGACCUAGCGUAGUUCGGAAUUACUGGGCUUAAAGAGUUCGUAGGUGGUUGAAAAAGUUGGUGGUGAAAUCCCAGAGCUUAACUCUGGAACUGCCAUCAAAACUUUUCAGCUAGAGUUUGAUAGAGGAAAGCAGAAUUUCUAGUGUAGAGGUGAAAUUCGUAGAUAUUAGAAAGAAUACCAAUUGCGAAGGCAGCUUUCUGGAUCAUUACUGACACUGAGGAACGAAAGCAUGGGUAGCGAAGAGGAUUAGAUACCCUCGUAGUCCAUGCCGUAAACGAUGUGUGUUAGACGUUGGAAAUUUAUUUUCAGUGUCGCAGCGAAAGCGAUAAACACACCGCCUGGGGAGUACGACCGCAAGGUUAAAACUCAAAUGAAUUGACGGGGACCCGCACAAGUAGUGGAGCAUGUGGUUUAAUUCGAAGAUACGCGCAGAACCUUACCAACACUUGACAUGUUCGUCGCGACUUUAAGAGAUUAAAGUUUUCGGUUCGGCCGGACGAAACACAGGUGCUGCAUGGCUGUCGUCAGCUCGUGUCGUGAGAUGUUGGGUUAAGUCCCGCAACGAGCGCAACCCUCACUUUUAGUUGCCAUCAUUAAGUUGGGCACUCUGAAAGAACUGCCAGUGAUAAGCUGGAGGAAGGUGGGGAUGACGUCAAGUCCUCAUGGCCCUUACGUGUUGGGCUACACACGUGCUACAAUGGUAUUUACAACAGGAAGCAAGACGGCGACGUUAAGCAAAUCCUUAAAAAAUACCUCAGUUCGGAUUGCACUCUGCAACUCGAGUGCAUGAAGCUGGAAUUACUAGUAAUCGUGGAUCAGCGUGCCACGGUGAAUGCGUUCCCGGGUCUUGUACACACCGCCCGUCACACCAUGGGAGUUGGUUCUACCUUAAGGCAAGGCUUUAAACCCUUGACCACGGUAUAGUCAGCGACUGGGGUGAAGUCGUAACAAGGUAGCCGUAGGGGAACCUGCGGCUGGAUUACCUCCUUU